UCAGGGGGACAUAGACCCUACGAGCCUAAGUAGACAUGCCCCAUGGGUCUAAAAUCUGAACUAACUUUUGAAGUGAAGUGCUAUGCUGAAGUUACGAUAAGCUGGGUUUACAAGGCCAACUUUGUGUUGGCGAAUUGGCGAAUUGGCGAAUUGGACAAACAUGCCAAUGCUCUAUGAACCGUUCUAUGAACCGUGUGUAGUGCGUUUACACUGAUGACUGCGAGUAUAGGUUUGGUAUAGGAAAGCCCAACAAAUACAAACAUCAGAUGGCCGACAGUGCUACGAAUGUGAGGUCUCCUCAAACUUCAGCCAGCAGUACAGACCACACGGACAGCGAGAAGAAAGAGCAUGGUUCCCAUCUAAAGGACGCUGCCUCGAUAGAAUUCUAAGCUCUUAAUUCGUAAGCCUGUAAAAUGAUCAAUUUACACAAUAAGGUUGCCGGCAGAUGGCAGCUAGAAUAGGCACACAAUAGGGUCCCUAUAUAGGUGGCGUACAACAAUAAGCCUCCGCGAUUGUUCACCGUUGCACUAUUUCGUCUCUAGAAAAUGCCUUUUUUGGCUUUUUUUUUUUGCUGAAAUUCAGCACUA
Long non-coding RNA from Priapulus caudatus, 587 nucleotides. RefSeq lists it as uncharacterized. Lineage: Eukaryota; Metazoa; Priapulida; Priapulimorpha; Priapulimorphida; Priapulidae. The record is from RefSeq and is a predicted model, not a curated record. The transcript is spliced from 3 exons.